This is a long non-coding RNA of Bactrocera neohumeralis, 828 nucleotides long. RefSeq lists it as uncharacterized. The record is from RefSeq and is a predicted model, not a curated record. Lineage: Eukaryota; Metazoa; Arthropoda; Insecta; Diptera; Tephritidae. The transcript is spliced from 4 exons.
CGAAUACCCAAUUUUUCAAGAAGAAGAAAACGAAAAGCGCAGUUUAUUUUGGAUUUUAAAGAGAGAAAUCGAAAAAGCUUCACAAGGAGAAAAAGGAAUCAUUUGGAGAAUUCAAAUAUAUUGCGUACAACGGCACAAUUCCGAUUUCUUUGGCGUCGCGAUUUAAAGUGAACAUCAUGUGUGUGCUAAAAUUAAGACGAAAUGGAGCGCUGCCGUGUGAUAAUAAGGAAAUUCGCUGAAAUGCCUUUUUUCCCAAAAAUUCCUCUAUCCAUUCAUAUGGAUAUGUUCUUUAUUUAAUUUAAUAAACAAAUAUGUAAUAUUAUAUACCAAUAUUAUAUAAUAAUAUUAUAUAAUAAUAUUUAACCAUUUUAUAAUGAAAACUCAAACUUUGUUUGAAUAUUAGUGCAAGAUAACCAAAAAAUAUAACCACUUUAUAACGAAACUCAAUAUAUUUUUUUUAUUUUAACGCAGAAAGGAGUAUUACGCGAAAGUACUUCAGUCACCACGGGUAUUCGCUCAACCAGGGUUAUUUUUUUAAAGCGCGGCCGAAGGCCGCCAACGCAGAAAGGAGUACUACGCGAAAGUACUUCAGUCACCCCGGAUAUUCGCUCGACCAGGGUUAUUUUUUUAAAGUGCGGCCGAAGGCUGCCAUUACAGAAAGGAGUACUACGCGAAAGUACUUCAGUCACCCCGAUAUGAUAUAAAUUUUACAAUAUUAUUAUAGAUUUUUACUUAUUUAUUUUUAUUAAACAUAAAUCGCAUAUUAUACAUAUACAUACAUAUGUAUGUAUAGUAUAUAUGUAUACAUAUGUAUAUAUACAUGUGUAU